This 621-nucleotide ribosomal RNA is filed under the name uncultured bacterium. RNAcentral describes it as "bacterial SSU rRNA". It matches the Rfam family "Bacterial small subunit ribosomal RNA", at positions 8 to 634 of the family's 1533-position model. The record is from RNAcentral.
AGAGUUUGAUCAUGGCUCAGGAUGAACGCUAGCGGCAGGCCUAAUACAUGCAAGUCGAACGGUGUCUUCGGACAUAGUGGCGCACGGGUGCGUAACACGUAUGCAACCUACCUUACAUUGGGGGAUAGCCUUUCGAAAGGGAGAUUAAUACCGCAUAAGACAGUAACUAGGCAUCUAGUAGCUGUUAAAGAUUUAUCGAUGUAAGCUGGGCAUGCGUCCAAUUAGCUAGUUGGUGAGGUAAUGGCUCACCAAGGCAAUGAUUGGUAGGGGAACUGAGAGGUCAAUCCCCCACACUGGCACUGAGAUACGGGCCAGACUCCUACGGGAGGCAGCAGUAGGGAAUAUUGGGCAAUGGACGCAAGUCUGACCCAGCCAUGCCGCGUGCAGGAUGAAGGCGUUAUGCGUUGUAAACUGCUUUUAUAAAGGAAAAAACGACUCUUGCGAGAGGCAUUGACGGUACUGUAUGAAUAAGCACCGGUUAACUCCGUGCCACCACCCGCGGAAUACGGAGGGUGCAAGCGUUGUCCGGAUUUUUUGGGGUUUAAAAGGGGGGCGCAGGUGGUUUAUUAAAUCCGUGGGGGAAAAAACGGUCGCUCCAACAAUUGCAGGGCCUUUGAAACU